Bos taurus (domestic cattle) is the source of this 1141-nucleotide long non-coding RNA. Lineage: Eukaryota; Metazoa; Chordata; Mammalia; Artiodactyla; Bovidae. The record is from Ensembl.
AGGAACAGCCUGACACCCAGACGGUCCUGGAGGUCACCCUCUGUGCUCCAGAGAGAAUAAAGAACAGUGCUGAGACUUCCCUGGAGGCUUGGAGAGCCCAGGGUCAUAGAAGAAAGUGGCAAAUUCCCAUUAAGCACAGAAGCAGGUGGGUGAGAUCCAUCAGAAAUGGGGCAAGUACACUCCAAAAUAUGCCUCCUGCUUGGAAAACUCCAAAGACUGGUUUUAUGUCCACAUUUUGUCACUGAUUCAACUAUUGAAUCAGGCCCAUGCUAUUUUUAAAUUGUGAGGGCCAUGCUUCGUUGUAAAAACAAAACAAAACAAACAGUUAGGAGCAGUCCAGACCCUUGUUCAGAUCUGGCCAUCUUAAUUCAGCCAGCCAGGGGUCUCUCCCAGGCACGUGCAAUCAGUCUGGAGCUGUGAAAAAAAGGUGGCAAAUGGACCCUACCUUCCACUGGUCCUACUCUUCCUCCUGACUCCAGCCCAUAAUGAAUGGGGUGUUUCCCUAUCACCCAAGAGGAAUUGAUUAAUUACGAUUUUCAGUGCUCACCAAAAAGAAACCACCAUCGCUAUAUCUGGAACAUGGCUGACAACUGACUCGAGGAUUCAAGUAGUUACUGUCAGGAUGUUAAAAGCCUAGAUACAUGCUCAGUCACUUCAGUCAUGUCUGACUCUUUGCGGUCAUAUGGACAGUAGCCUGUCAGGCUCUUCUGUCCAUGGGAUUCUCUAGGCUGGGCUCCAUGGAUGGCAGUGUGCUGUGUGGGAACUGACGGACUGGCCUCAGGAGACCCACGGCUUUCAACUCUUUGCUGAGAGCUCGGCUGAACCAUCCACUAACCACACCAGCCAAGAAGGGCACCCUCUCUUAACUCUCAGCCCCCUUGGUGUCUGUUCUCAUCUCCUGGUUCUCAGAUUCUUGAUUUUAUACCCAGGAUCCUUUAUCUGUUCCUGGUCCCUUUAAUUUGGCUAAUUGCCUGAUCCUGGUCUUUUGGACUUAAAAUUUCUCAGUUCAGCCCAUAGCAGUCCUCACUCUGGCCCCCAGCAAUGAAGGACAGCAUCCCAUCCUGAUAGCUAAACUCCCCUGAUGUCCCUCCCCAAAGAAGGCAGAUGAGGGGUCCACUCUCAUGAGACCUGCGUGCUGAGA